Molecule: long non-coding RNA, 1445 nt
Organism: Cyprinus carpio (common carp)
Lineage: Eukaryota; Metazoa; Chordata; Actinopteri; Cypriniformes; Cyprinidae
Source: Ensembl
GCGAAAGCUCUCUUUAAAGAGGCUGUCGUCUCUCAUCCAAGUCUCUCGCUACAAGAAUUUCUGUAAGUCUGACCUUUAGAGAUUUGUGAGUUCAUUUUGUGAUUAUAAACCAGGUCUACAAAAUGAAUCAUGACACUGCUCAGUGAAGUACUUAAGCUUAAUGUUUUUUCUUUCUCUGACAUGACAGAUCUCUGGGGACACUGGCUACAGGAGUGAAUUGCUUGGACCUUAGACGAUUGUUCCAGAACCUGGCAUCUCUAUCACCUCUACGUGACAUUAUGACAUUUCUGAGAGAGCAGCCGGUGCCACUCCACCCCUCACUGGUAUCUAGUAAACCUACAUUCAAAUUCAGGACCUAAAUUUGACAGAUUACCAGUUUAGUUUAGUUUCAUCUUUAUUCGUAGUGCUUAUUCAUAAUCUUAUUCAUAGUUCACUGAAUUAAUCAAUAAACUUUUGUGCAGACCUACCUGUAAAUUGAGUGCAGAUGUUUUGAAUCCUGAAUAAUGGUUGGAGUAUUGCACAAACACUCUCUUGACUGAAGUUUAUUUUUCUUUUUUUCUGUACUACAGAAAAAAUGUGUAAUUGAGGAACUGUAUGAGUUUGACUUCUUCUCAGAUUUACUUGGAGAUUUGGGUUCUCAGAUUGCCCUGUCACUUCCGCUGAGCACCAUUAAGAAAUUUCCACAAGAUAAGAUGGAUUCCCUGAGGAAAGUUAUAAUACAGGACCCAUAUUACUUCCUACUGCUUCCCAGCACUAAACAAGCUGUCCUGGUGGACAAGAUGGUUCAAAGACUGGUAAAGAAUAUAAUUUUACUGUCUACAGGUCAUGCACAUAUUUUCGGUGUGGAUCUUUCCAGUUACUGAUUUUGACAGGGUUAACAAACCCUGAUUCUAUGUCCAUUUUCUAAAAACCUUUUAAAAGGACUUUAAUUUCAAAGUCUCCAACCCUUAUAUCUUUGAUUUACUCAUCAGAAUAUGCACACUGGCCUGUACACUGAAGAGGAGUUUCGUUCACUAGGUGUCAUGGCUACAUUUGUGACAGAUAAAAUGUUUCAGAAAUUGGAUAGGAGCUUUUUUGUUGAUGGUCUGGAGUUCCUACAAAGAUUCUGCUACAAUGCCAGUAAACGGGACCUGGUGGCAGACAUGCUACAAGAACAGGGGACAUUUGGCCCUGUAAAAAACUGGACUUCAGAGACACUGAACCAAGUGGACCGCUUCUUGUUUUUUCUCCCGAAGGACACUAUUCAGCUCAUCCCCUUAGGUUUGAUGAGCUUAGAGCGCAUUGAGAGGCUGUUCCUGAGUCAGCAGAAGUGGGAGAGGGAAGAGUUUGGCUCUCUGUGUCAGAAACCCUCAGAGCUGUUUGAGAAGAAACAGUUUGUGCUUCAGUUCUUCCUCGGCUUCCUCAGAAUAGGACGUGCCCCUUGUAAGCACAACUCUCUGCCUUGA